RNAcentral lists this ribosomal RNA (303 nucleotides) under uncultured bacterium. RNAcentral describes it as "partial 16S ribosomal RNA". It matches the Rfam family "Bacterial small subunit ribosomal RNA", at positions 507 to 808 of the family's 1533-position model. The record is from RNAcentral.
AGCAGCAGCCGCGGUAAAACGUAGGUCCCGAGCGUUGUCCGGAUUUAUUGGGCGUAAAGCGAGCGCAGGCGGUUAGAUAAGUCUGAAGUUAAAGGCUGUGGCUUAACCAUAGUACGCUUUGGAAACUGUUUAACUUGAGUGCAGAAGGGGAGAGUGGAAUUCCAUGUGUAGCGGUGAAAUGCGUAGAUAUAUGGAGGAACACCGGUGGCGAAAGCGGCUCUCUGGUCUGUAACUGACGCUGAGGCUCGAAAGCGUGGGGAGCGAACAGGAUUAGAUACCCCGGUAGUCCCUGUCUCUUAUACC